GGGCUCGUAGCUCAGUCAGGCAGAGCACCGGGCUUUUAUUCAAAUGAGAAGAAACCCGAUGGUCGAGGGUUCAAAUCCCUCCGAGCCCG
RNAcentral lists this transfer RNA (89 nucleotides) under soil metagenome. It matches the Rfam family "tRNA". Rfam says of the family: Transfer RNA (tRNA) molecules are approximately 80 nucleotides in length. Their secondary structure includes four short double-helical elements and three loops (D, anti-codon, and T loops). The record is from RNAcentral.